This 3226-nucleotide long non-coding RNA is filed under the name Marmota monax (woodchuck). Lineage: Eukaryota; Metazoa; Chordata; Mammalia; Rodentia; Sciuridae. The record is from RNAcentral.
GUCUUAAAAGAAAAUUGAAAAACAGAAGAUUACAGGAAAAAAAAGAAGAAUAGGGGGAAUGACUUUUUUAAAUUAAUGGAAAUUCAAGGAUUUUGAAGCUGAUAAGUUGCUUAAGAAUAAGGUAAGGAAAGGAAAGAGAAUGGAGAAGAAAAAAUAAUAGAAAGAACAAGGUCUUCAAUGAUGGGAAGAUAUUGACUUUAGAUUCACAAAGUCAAUGAACCUGCAAAUGGGAUAAAUACAAAGUAAAUAUUCAUCUGUCAACUCUAUUCAUCAUAUUCAUCUGUCAACUCUACAAUAAAAUUAUUGAAAAUGAAAGAUACAGAAAAGAAUCUUGAAAAAUAGGGGGAAACACGAAUGGUGGCCGAGUUGUCAUAAGGAACAAUGGAAGCCAGAAAUCAAUGGAAUGACAUUUCUAUAGUGUAGAAUGGUAAGUGGUAACCUAGAAAUUUAUAAACAGUGGAAACAUACUUUAAAAGCAAAAUAAAACUGUACUCCCAAUUGUGACCAAGGAGAAGUCAAAGGGACUAAAUUUAUUCUCCAACCUGAAAUAAUAAAAUAAAAUAUAUUCAAGAGUUUUCAAGAUAUUUGGACACUACACAAUGAAUGACAGUGAUUACUGAAAGAUGGAAAACAAAUGAGGUUAUCUCUACAAUUGCUUCAGCUUUCUUCCUGAAACUUGCAGUGUUGAGAUGAUAAAGCUUACAGUAUGAGAAGGUCAAGAAAACUAAAGUUCACAAACUGCGGUGAAGAGCAAAGAUCUGCAUAAGGUCCCCAUGGAGUUUUCAAAUGAGUAUUCAUCAGUGUAUGAUAUGAGAAAAGUGUGAAAUGCCAAGAAAGGAUCCACCUGAAAAAUACCAUAUUCUCUUUUUAUAUAAUUAUUAAUUCUCAGAGACCAAACAUGACUAGUAAUAGUACUUAUUCCUAGCAGCCAGAUUGGAAAACAUUCUAAAUUUUUUAUUGGCACACAACGUUGUACAUAUUGAUGGGAUUUAUAGUUAUAUAUACAUGCAUGUAUACAAUAUAACAAUAUAAUUUGGCCAAUAUCACUCCCCAACACUUCUCCCCUCCCUCCCUGUCUUCCACCCUUGGUCCCUUUCCUCUACUGAUCUCUCUUGAUUUUUAGGAGAUCCACCACUACCUUUGUUUUCCUGUUCCUCUCAGCUUCCACAUAUGAGAGAAAACAUACAGUCCUUAACUUUCUUCUGAGUUUGACUUAUUUCACUUAAUGUGAUGCUCUGUAGUUCCAUUCAUUUUCCUGUAAAUGGUAUAAUUUAAUUUUUCUUUAUGGUUCAAUAAAAUGCCAUUGUGUAUAUAUACCAUAUUUUCUUUUUAUAUAUAUAUUUUUAGUUGUAUGUGGACACAAUACCUUUAUUUUAUUUAUUUUUAAGUGGUGCUGAGGAUCAAACCCAGUGCCUCACACAUGCUAGGCAAGUGCUCUACCACUGAGCCACAACCCCAGGCCCCAUAUUUUCUUUAUCUAUUCAUCCAUUGAUGGACACCUUGGCUGGUUCCAUAGUUUGGCCAUUGUGAAUUGUUCCACUCUAAACAUGGGCAUGCAUGUAUCACUGUAGUAUGACGACUUUAUUCUUCAGGGUAAAUACUGAGAAAUGGUAUAGAUGGGUCACAAAAUGGUUUCAUGCCUAGUCUUUUGAGGAGACUCCAUACUGAUUUCCAUAGUGAUUGUACUAAUUUACAGACCCACCAAGAGUGUAAGAGUAUUUUCCCCCAUCUUUUCAGCAUUUAUUAUUAUUUACAUUCUUGAGGACUGCCAUUAUGAUGGGUAUGCAAUGAAACCUCAGUGUAGUAUUGAUUUGCAUUUCCCCAAUUGCUAGUGAUGAUGAAUAUUUUUUUCAUGUAUUUAUUGGCCAUUUGUAUUUCUUCUUUUGACAAGUGUCUACUUAGUUUUCCAUUUAUUCAUUGGGUUAUUUUUUAGCGUAAAGAUUUUUGAGCUCUCAUAUAUUCUAGAUAUUAAUCCUCUGUCAGAAGAGGAGAGAGCAAAGAUUUUCUCCCAUUCUGUGGUUUCUCUUCAAACUCGUAAUUCCUUUAUUGUACAGAAGCCUUUUAAUUUGACACUGUCCAAUUUAUUAAUUAUUGGCAUCAUUAUUUCCUGAACUUUAAGGGUCCUAUAGAGAAAGUCAUUGCCUAUGUCUAAAAGCUGGAGUGUUGAGCCUAGGUUUUCUUCUAGAGUUUCAUGGUUUAUGAUAUAAUUCUGAGGUCUUUAAUCCAUUUUGAGUUGCUUUUUGUGCAGGAUGAUAUAAGGCUCUAGUUUCAAUCUUCUACAUAUGGAUAACCAGUUCUUGUUGCUAUAGCUCUGAAGUAUAAUUUGAAGUAAUGUAUUGUGAUGCCUCCCAACAUUGCUUUUUUGACUGAAAAUUGCUUUGGCUAUUCUGGGUCUUUUAUUCUUUCAAAUAAAUUUUAGGAGUGUGUUUUCUAGUUCUGUAUAGAAUUGGUGACUAAUAUUUUAACUAUAUUUGUAUGGCUGAUAAAGUUAAAGAAAUAUUGAGCAAAUUAAGUAGAGACCUGGAAGAUUUUUUAUAUAUACAUUUUUUAUAGACAGAAACUAUAAUAUCUGAGAUGAAAAAUUACAAUGGAAGUAAUAAAAUCAGAUUAGAAGUUGCAGGAAAAAAAGAUUAGUGAACUUGAAAAGGUUCGUGAAUAGAAACUGUCUGGAAUGAAACACAGAAGGGGAACAACUGGAUAAAAAAUUAAUAGCGCCAUUGAGCUUGGGAAAACUUCAUAUGCCCUACAAUAUACAAAAUUCUAGUCUCCUGAGAAGCAGCAGGAAGGACAGGAAAAAAAAUAAUGGCUGAUUAUUUUCCAAAUGUAGUAAACACUAUAAUCUCACAGUUCCGAGAAACCAAGAACAAGCAGAAAAUGACAUAACAGCAUACCAUAAUCAAAUGGUUGAAAAUCAGCCUGCUGAUAUUUAUUCUGGCACCAACAGUUAUUGCCAGCAAUGGGUGAUUUGGUUUUUACUCCCACAUUUUGGGUUCUAACAGCAUGAUUACCCCUCAGAGAUAGCCAGCAUCAACCGGCCAGAAUUCCCUCCUCACAGGUUUCUCUGAGCUGCACAGGGAGGCUCUCCUCCAUUCUCCUGAGAUACCAGCACCUACCAAACAGCACCUCCUCUUCAUGGAUCCAAGUUUAAGCUUCUUCUCAUGCCUCCCUUCUUCUAAAUGCUGGUAAAAAUAACCCCUUCCCUUUGCUCCCAAUCCCUAGGAGUGGG